Monodelphis domestica (gray short-tailed opossum) is the source of this 105-nucleotide small nuclear RNA. The record is from Ensembl. Lineage: Eukaryota; Metazoa; Chordata; Mammalia; Didelphimorphia; Didelphidae.
GCUCACUUCGGCAGUGCAAGUACUAAAAUUGGAAUGAUACAGAGAAGAUUAGUGUGUCCCCUGCACAAGGAUGACAAGCAAACUUGUGAAGCAUACCAUAUUUUU